AACCUCAGAAAACAAACAGACCCCAGACGAAAAAUGAAGUUCAAGAUCAAAAUAGCACUGGAUAUAAAUCACACGUGCUUCAUUUAGGUGCAGAUCAAAAUAGAAAUGUCCCAAAUAAAGAUAUUUUAGGGAAUAAAAUUGAACCUCAGGAAAGAAAUGG
Bubalus bubalis (water buffalo) is the source of this 160-nucleotide long non-coding RNA. RefSeq lists it as uncharacterized. Lineage: Eukaryota; Metazoa; Chordata; Mammalia; Artiodactyla; Bovidae. The transcript has 6 exons. The record is from RefSeq and is a predicted model, not a curated record.